RNAcentral lists this transfer RNA (75 nucleotides) under Isoptericola variabilis. RNAcentral describes it as "tRNA-Arg". It matches the Rfam family "tRNA". From Rfam's summary of the family: Transfer RNA (tRNA) molecules are approximately 80 nucleotides in length. Their secondary structure includes four short double-helical elements and three loops (D, anti-codon, and T loops). Further hydrogen bonds mediate the characteristic L-shaped molecular structure. tRNAs have two regions of fundamental functional importance: the anti-codon, which is responsible for specific mRNA codon recognition, and the 3' end, to which the tRNAs corresponding amino acid is attached (by aminoacyl-tRNA synthetases). tRNAs cope with the degeneracy of the genetic code in two manners: having more than one tRNA (with a specific anti-codon) for a particular amino acid; and 'wobble' base-pairing, i.e. permitting non-standard base-pairing at the 3rd anti-codon position. RNAcentral also lists the same sequence under 4 other names. The record is from RNAcentral. Lineage: Bacteria; Bacillati; Actinomycetota; Actinomycetes; Micrococcales; Promicromonosporaceae.
GCGCCCGUAGCUCAACGGAUAGAGCAUCUGACUACGGAUCAGAAGGUUGGGGGUUCGAAUCCCUCCGGGCGCACC